RNAcentral lists this transfer-messenger RNA (398 nucleotides) under uncultured Prevotella sp. It matches the Rfam family "transfer-messenger RNA". From Rfam's summary of the family: Bacterial tmRNA, also known as 10Sa RNA or SsrA, is named for its dual tRNA and mRNA-like properties. Its role is to liberate the mRNA from a stalled ribosome. The record is from RNAcentral. Lineage: Bacteria; Pseudomonadati; Bacteroidota; Bacteroidia; Bacteroidales; Prevotellaceae.
GGGGUUGACUGGAUUUGACAGCGGGUUGAGAUGGUACGUAAGCACGCGGAGGCUUCUUGGUUCCCUCCAUAAUCUGAGCUGAGGAAAAAUUAAUUGGCGAAACAAAGUACGCUCUCGCUGCUUAAUCGAAGUAUAGUAGAUUGCUAGCUUAAUUUCUCUGCAAGGCGGAGAAACGAGACGUCGCUCCAAGGAUGUUGUUCCGAAUCUGAGGAUCAAGCGGCGCAGGUUAAAUCGGAAAUAGUCUGUAUGGGCUCCGACAUGCGGAUGAAAUUUAGGAGCUAAGGUGUCGAUUGGUGGUCCAGGUCUUGUCGGCACUCGAAAACCGAAGGCUGGAAUAAGCGUGUAGAAAGCGUAUGGUUUCCCUGUUUGGACGAGGGUUCGACUCCCUCCAGCUCCAC